AGUCGAUGGCUUUUAAAUAUGACUGCACCUUGGUAUAAUCUAUGUGAGGGAAGGAAGAGGGAUGAAUUUACUUACUAAUCUCUUGAUCACACCGGUCAAAAGUUCACCUAAAGGGAGUUAACUUCUCUGCAGUUCUGGGUUGUGCAGGAUGGGCACUGAGCAAGUCCCCCUCACCCCACAUCUGACAAUGAACAAGUUUGUUUUACCUUCCCCAUGCAUUUAAAUGUCUAGCUUCUGGGAGGAGAACCAAAUGGGCAAGAAAGGAAACCUUUAGUAGUGUCUUCCUUAAACUCAGAUAAGUAAUGAGAAAGCAACCUUUUUCUUUCCCUCUUUCCUAGCUAGUGUAGGUCAUUGCUGGGUCAGGCUACUUUGACUUUGACCUGAGUUGGCAGUUGACACCAUUACCAGGCUCGUUGCUUGAUUAUACAUAGCAAGCACUUGGCAAAAUGCUUUUUAGUGGAUGAGCCAGUGUGAAUGGAGUGCCUCUUCCAUUUGCUUGACCUGAUACUAUUCUCAGUCCCUUCUAGACCUACUUGUCCUCUCUAGA
RNAcentral lists this long non-coding RNA (547 nucleotides) under Homo sapiens (human). RNAcentral describes it as "non-protein coding lnc-KCND3-4:2". Lineage: Eukaryota; Metazoa; Chordata; Mammalia; Primates; Hominidae. The record is from RNAcentral.